RNAcentral lists this ribosomal RNA (372 nucleotides) under uncultured organism. RNAcentral's name for it is "partial 16S ribosomal RNA". It matches the Rfam family "Bacterial small subunit ribosomal RNA", at positions 528 to 896 of the family's 1533-position model. The record is from RNAcentral.
GUAGGUGCAAGCGUUGUCCGGAAUUAUUGGGCGUAAAGCGCGCGCAGGCGGUCCUUUAAGUCUGAUGUGAAAGCCCACGGCUCAACCGUGGAGGGUCAUUGGAAACUGGGGGACUUGAGUACAGAAGAGGAAAGCGGAAUUCCAAGUGUAGCGGUGAAAUGCGUAGAGAUUUGGAGGAACACCAGUGGCGAAGGCGGCUUUCUGGUCUGUAACUGACGCUGAGGCGCGAAAGCGUGGGGAGCAAACAGGGAUUAGAUACCCUGGUAGUCCACGCCGUAAACGAUGAGUGCUAAGUGUUAGGGGGUUUCCCGCCCCUUAGUGCUGCAGCUAACGCAUUAAGCACCCCGCCUGGGGAGUACGGCCGCAAGGCUG